UCUCUUCUUGUUUGUCAGUUGAAUGUUUGAAACCUUUACUAAACACUACAAAAAAAGUAAAAUAUUACGACGGUUUAUUUCCGGCGGUCUAUAAAAACUGCCACAAAUAUCACGUAUAUACGGCUGUUUUCUAUCCGUCGUAUUACAUGUUUGUAAACGGGCGGUUUUGAUGAAUAUUACAGGCGGCUUAAACUGCCAUUUUCUUUUGAGUUUUAAUACUUUAUAUUUGAAACCCUAUUCUCUGCGUCCUGCCUUUUUCCUUUCUCGCGCAAAUUAGGAGUCAACCAAAUCUCGCGCAAAUCGUCAGUGCCAUUUCACGAAAUUGUCGGUGCUAUGAAGCUCGCAGGUUCAGUCAUGUCUCUCAAUUUCCUCUUUUAUUUGCUUAUCAGCUAUGCUUUAGCAUAGAGGACUCCUACAAAUAACUCAACAGUAGACCAUCAAACAGCUGAUUUAGAACACAUGUUAAAGAGAUCAAGACCUUUGGGUGUAUCAGAUGAAGUAUGAUAUGGGAGAGGAUUGCUAACAGAUGUUUCAAGAUUUGGGAUCUCGGGUAAUGUUCAGUGGCUUUAUAGGUAUAUGUGGAACCUGUUGAUUGCAUUGACAAUCGUUUAUCAUGUAUGGAUGAAUGUUUUUGUAGUCUCAGCUUAAUAGACUUAUUGCUGAAGGUGCUCGUCGUGCAAGAGAAAUAAUAUGUGCCACCUCUUUCAGGCUUAUGGAAAAUACCAACUAGUUUUAUUCUUGAGGAUGAUGCUCAAUUUGAGAAGGUUAUGGCUUUCAGGUGGCUAGCUAAGAAGAUCACCAUAUGGAUCUUAUCAACGUAGAUUAUGCGAGUUCUCAUAGAAUAUUAAUUCUAGAAUAUGAUAUGGUUAUUUCUCUUCGGAUGGAUGUAAUAUAUUGCUCCUUAACAUUUAAAGAAUUUUGUUAUGUAAUUUUGAAAUGCUUAUAUUUUUCAUA
Molecule: long non-coding RNA, 954 nt
Organism: Solanum tuberosum (potato)
Lineage: Eukaryota; Viridiplantae; Streptophyta; Magnoliopsida; Solanales; Solanaceae
Exons: 4
Source: RefSeq, a predicted model, not a curated record